This 2427-nucleotide long non-coding RNA is filed under the name Homo sapiens (human). RNAcentral's name for it is "HSALNT0195177". Lineage: Eukaryota; Metazoa; Chordata; Mammalia; Primates; Hominidae. The record is from RNAcentral.
UUUUUUUUUUGUGCUGCUGUUGCCUGGUUUUGUGAAUAAAGUUUUAUUGGAAUACAGCCAUGCCCAUUAGUUUACAUAUUGUCAAUAGUUGCUGCAUGUAACAGAGUUGAGUAGCAACAGAGACCUUAUGACCUGCAAAGCCUAAAAUAUUUACCAUCUGGCCCUUUGCAUCAAGUGCAGUGACCCCGAUCUAAAGCAAACCCCCAUCAUUUUACAGAUUAGAAAGCCCAGAGUGUCUUCUACAAGGUCACACUGUGGCAGAAUUCCCCGUUCCGGCUCUUUCACCUCUGCUAUGCUGCCUCGGCACAUGUGCUGAGUAAAACUUUAUUGACAAGACCAGGCAACAGUAGCAGGAAAAAGAAAAACGAGCUGUGGUUUGGCGACCCCUGAUUUCAAUCAUUCAUACCCCUUCUUUACUACUUUGCCACUUAGCCACAAUGUGACCUUGAGCAACCUCCUUGACCUCUCUGUGCCUGUGUUCUCACCUGUGAACCGAGAACAGGACAGACUCCUGCAGAUGCCAGGAUGAAGUGAAGGCUGAGAAUGGCGCCGGCCCCACAUGAGCACUACACAAGCCUCAGCUGUUGUUACCCCAUCCCCCCAACAUAAAGGCAGUGUCCUUCUGCACCCCGACAGGCUUGGGCCAUCACCCGCUGCCCAGGAGGCCAGGGUAUUUCAGCACAAGCCCCGGGCCAAGGCCUUCUGGAUCGUCAGCAAAGUAAAAGGGGCCCUGCAAUCUAAUUAUAGCAUUGCUAGAAGCCAGGGCCGCAUUCCCCUCCAGCUUCCUUAAUAAGCCCCACUUCCCCAUAAUUGCAGAUUUCAUGGAAGCGGUCCACUGGGGCCACCAUGUCCCAUCCUUGGGCUUAGGCCAAUAGCAGACAUUUUGUUGUGCAGAUUUCUGGAUAGCAGCUGCUCCUGCCUUUCCUGGAAACUGUCAGGAGCCCUCCCUUCUCCUGGUCCCCAAAAAGAUUCCAGGCGAUAACAUCGCUGCCACCUUGUACACCUGCAGUUUACAAAGCACUUUCGCAGGUGGGAGCUGAGUCACUAGGCAGGGGCUGUCACUGCCAUGGCACAGAUGAGGAAACUGAGGCUCCAGGAAAGGAGGGGAGCAGCCCGUGGCCGAUGUUCCAGAAAGAAGGCAGUCCCUUUUCCCAGGCUGUGGCUCCACAGUCAAAGACCCUCCUCUCCUUCCCCUCUGGCUUUGUGGAAGAGGACAGGAAGCUGGAUAUGUGGCAGUCCGUGCAAGGGAUAGCAGGAAACACUGCGUCCCAUGAACGAUUCUCAGACUGCAUUCCCCAGAGAUGCUGAGAUGUGGGGCUGAGGAGUCCGGCACCCUUAACCCCUCCACCUCCCAGGAUUUUAUAUUCCUAGGCUCAAUUGCCCAACCCUCAUAGUGUAAGCAUCUCACUGCAGUCUUUGUGAGCUGCGAGGUAUUUUGUGAACCCUGAACACAAGUCAACAACUUCACCCAAUGCUCAACCAAAGAACAGCAGCUGCCCCAGUGCUGGGGGACAGCCUGCUGUGUUCGCCUCCCAGAGCAACAGUGUAUAUAGGUCAGGGAAUGUGUUGGUUCCUGUGACAGACCCAGACAUUAGUGGGCUUAAAUGAGAUGGAGGUGGAUUUCUGUCACAUGACAGUUGGAAGGUGAACAGGCCUGGUCUGACAGCAGCAGGGGCCCAGCCCCUCUGAACUGUCACUCUGACACGCCUCCAUGGCCCAGACAGCACCCCGCUGUGCUGCCAUCACCCAGUCACUGGGAGUGGGGAGGAAAAAGAGGGCUUGCCCUGCCCUUCAAGGACACAGCCUGUGCAUUCUCAUGUCACUUUGACCAGAAUAUGGUCACCUGGUUGAGCCUAGCUGCAAGAGAUGCUGGGAAAUGGUCUUUCUCUUGGGCAGCCAUAUGCUCCCCAAAACAUACAGCCCCUCCUUCUACAGGAAGCGGGAAAACAAAUGCUGGGGGCAGCCAGCAGCCUCAGCCACUGAUCGUUGGGUGCUGCCUGGGGUCUUCCCAGGGCAUUUUCAAGGUCAAUUUGACUGUCCUUGAUUUCCACCUUUUGAGCUGACGUUAGAACCUAACCCCACAUAAGCAUUGUUUAAAGACUCAUGUAUCACAGCCGUAAAAAAGAAUGAGUUCAUGUCCUUUGCAGGGACAUGGAUGAAGCUGGAAACCAGCAUUCUCAGCCAAAUAACACAGGAACAGAAAACCAAACACCACAUGUUCUCACUCAUAAGUGGGAGUUGACCAAUGAGGACACAUGGACACAGGGAAGGGAACAUCACACACCGGGACCUGUUGGGGGUGGAGGGCUAAGGGAGGGAUAGCAUUAGGAGAAAUACCUAAUGUAGAUGGUGGGUUGAUGGGUGCAGCAAACCACCAUGGCACAUGUAUGCCUAUGUGACAAACCUGCACUUUCUGCAUAUGUAUCC